Molecule: ribosomal RNA, 3006 nt
Filed under: Rhodococcus equi 103S
Lineage: Bacteria; Bacillati; Actinomycetota; Actinomycetes; Mycobacteriales; Nocardiaceae
Description: Prescottella equi 103S bacterial LSU rRNA
Rfam family: Bacterial large subunit ribosomal RNA
Source: RNAcentral
AGAGCGUACGGUGGAUGCCUUGGCACCAGGAGCCGAUGAAGGACGUAGGAGGCUGCGAUAAGCCUCGGGGAGCUGUCAACCGAGCUGAGAUCCGAGGAUGUCCGAAUGGGGAAACCCAGCCACAGUGAUGUGUGGUUACCCGCGCCUGAAUAUAUAGGGCGUGUGGAGGGAACGUGGGGAAGUGAAACAUCUCAGUACCCACAGGAAGAGAAAACAACAUGUGAUUCCGUGAGUAGUGGCGAGCGAAAGCGGAAGAGGCUAAACCAUGGGUGUGUGAUAGCCGGCGGGCGUUGCAUUCGUGGGGUUGUGGGAUCCGUCUUGUCAAUUCUGCCGGAUUGGCCGACAGUGAGAAAUUAUCGUGUUAGUCGAAGUGGUCUGGAACGGCCUGUCGUAGAGGGUGAGAGUCCCGUAGACGAAAACAUGGUGACUGUCGUGACGGACACCCGAGUAGCAGCGGGCCCGUGAAAUCUGCUGUGAAUCUGUCGGGACCACCCGAUAAGCCUGAAUACUCCCUGGUGACCGAUAGCGGACUAGUACCGUGAGGGAAAGGUGAAAAGUACCCCGGGAGGGGAGUGAAAUAGUACCUGAAACCGUGCGCUUACAAUCCGUCAGAGCCUGCGCCACUUUGGUGGGUGGGUGAUGGCGUGCCUUUUGAAGAAUGAGCCUGCGAGUUAGCGGCAUGUCGCGAGGUUAACCCGUGUGGGGUAGCCGUAGCGAAAGCGAGUCCGAAUAGGGCGUUUGUAGUGGCAUGUUCUAGACCCGAAGCGGAGUGAUCUACCCAUGGCCAGGGUGAAGCGACGGUAAGACGUCGUGGAGGCCCGAACCCACUUAGGUUGAAAACUGAGGGGAUGAGCUGUGGGUAGGGGUGAAAGGCCAAUCAAACUCCGUGAUAGCUGGUUCUCCCCGAAAUGCAUUUAGGUGCAGCGUCGCGUGUUUCACUCUGGAGGUAGAGCUACUGGAUGGCCGAUGGGCCCCACAAGGUUACUGACGUCAGCCAAACUCCGAAUGCCAGAGUGUGAGAGCGCGGCAGUGAGACUGCGGGGGAUAAGCUUCGUAGUCGAGAGGGAAACAGCCCAGAUCGCCGGCUAAGGCCCCUAAGCGUGUACUAAGUGGAAAAGGAUGUGGGGUCGCGAAGACAACCAGGAGGUUGGCUUAGAAGCAGCCACCCUUGAAAGAGUGCGUAAUAGCUCACUGGUCAAGUGAUCCUGCGCCGACAAUGUAGCGGGGCUCAAGUACACCGCCGAAGCCGCGGCAUUCACAUAACACCCAUGCGGGUCUACGGGCCUGUGUGCAGUGGUGUGGAUGGGUAGGGGAGCGUCGUGCAGCCAUGGAAGCGCCGGAGUGAUCCAGGUGUGGAGGCUGCACGAGUGAGAAUGCAGGCAUGAGUAGCGAAAGACGAGUGAGAAACUCGUCCGCCGAAUGACCAAGGGUUCCUGGGCCAGGUUAAUCCGCCCAGGGUGAGUCGGGACCUAAGGCGAGGCCGACAGGCGUAGUCGAUGGACAACGGGUUGAUAUUCCCGUACCCGUGUGAACGCGCCCCUGGUGAAUCAGUGAUGCUAAGCGCCCUGAAGCCGCCUUCGAACCUUCGGGUUCUCCGGUGUGUGGAUGCGCGUGAACCGAUCUGGUAGUAGCCAAGCGAUGGGGUGACGCAGGAAGGUAGCUGAGCCAGUCAGUGGUAAUACUGGUGUAAGCGUGUAGGGCGUGACCUAGGCAAAUCCGGGUCACAUACAGCCUGAGACGUGAUGCGUAGCCGAUUGAGGCGAAUUCAGUGAUCCUAUGCUGCCGAGAAAAGCCUCUAGCGAGCUUUCACACGGCCCGUACCCCAAACCGACACAGGUGGUCAGGUAGAGAAUACUAAGGCGAUCGAGAUAACUGUGGUUAAGGAACUCGGCAAAAUGCCCCCGUAACUUCGGGAGAAGGGGGGCCUCGUCUGGUGACGGAACUUGCUUCCUGAGCUGGGUGGGGCCGCAGAGACCAGAGAGAAGCGACUGUUUACUAAAAACACAGGUCCGUGCGAAGUCGUAAGACGAUGUAUACGGACUGACGCCUGCCCGGUGCUGGAAGGUUAAGAGGACCGGUUAGCCAGUAAUGGCGAAGCUGAGAAUUUAAGCCCCAGUAAACGGCGGUGGUAACUAUAACCAUCCUAAGGUAGCGAAAUUCCUUGUCGGGUAAGUUCCGACCUGCACGAAUGGCGUAACGACUUCUCUGCUGUCUCAACCACAGACUCGGCGAAAUUGCAUUACGAGUAAAGAUGCUCGUUACGCGCGGCAGGACGAAAAGACCCCGGGACCUUCACUAUAGCUUGGUAUUGGUGUUCGGUUCGGUUUGUGUAGGAUAGGUGGGAGACUGUGAAGCGGGCACGCCAGUGUUCGUGGAGUCGUUGUUGAAAUACCACUCUGAUCGUAUUGGACAUCUAACCUCGGACCAUGAUCUGGUUCAGGGACAGUGCCUGGUGGGUAGUUUAACUGGGGCGGUUGCCUCCCAAAAUGUAACGGAGGCGCCCAAAGGUUCCCUCAGCCUGGUUGGCAAUCAGGUGUCGAGUGCAAGUGCACAAGGGAGCUUGACUGUGAGACUGACAGGUCGAGCAGGGACGAAAGUCGGGACUAGUGAUCCGGCACCGGCAAGUGGAAGCGGUGUCGCUCAACGGAUAAAAGGUACCCCGGGGAUAACAGGCUGAUCUUCCCCAAGAGUCCAUAUCGACGGGAUGGUUUGGCACCUCGAUGUCGGCUCGUCGCAUCCUGGGGCUGGAGUAGGUCCCAAGGGUUGGGCUGUUCGCCCAUUAAAGCGGCACGCGAGCUGGGUUUAGAACGUCGUGAGACAGUUCGGUCUCUAUCCGCCGCGCGCGUUAGAAACUUGAGGAAGGCUGUCCCUAGUACGAGAGGACCGGGACGGACGAACCUCUGGUGUGCCAGUUGUUCCGCCAGGAGCACUGCUGGUUAGCUACGUUCGGAAGGGAUAACCGCUGAAAGCAUCUAAGCGGGAAGCCUGUUCCAAGAUGAGGUUUCU